Lycium barbarum (goji berry) is the source of this 2751-nucleotide long non-coding RNA. RefSeq lists it as uncharacterized. The transcript is spliced from 2 exons. Lineage: Eukaryota; Viridiplantae; Streptophyta; Magnoliopsida; Solanales; Solanaceae. The record is from RefSeq and is a predicted model, not a curated record.
UAAAAACCCUUUUGUGUUUACCUCUGAAAUUUAACCCCUUUUGUUUGUUUCUCUUUAUUUUGAGUCUUGAUUUGGGUUUUAUUUGUGUUAUGGUUAGUGGGUGUUUCUUCAAAAUACAGUCUUUGGCACUUACUUAAAAAGCUGUGAGCUUUUUGCGAACUAAUUACUUAUUAUAUGCUGCAACGUGAUUAGUGUUUAAGGGAACCUAUCCAGGAAAAAAGGAACUUUUUUAGGGAUAUUAUACAGGGUUUAAGGUUUAGAGCAUAGAAGGCCAGUUUGUUUUUGGUCUUUGGUUAGGUAUAUGGACAAGCACUUCUAGUUGAAAAGCACAUUUUUUACUUAUAGCAUUUCUAAAAGUUUCGCGCAUUAGUUUUUUAACAAGAUAAAGCAUUUUUUAUGUUACCAUUCUAAAAGAAGAAGAUAAAGCAUUGUUUUUAUUAUGUUUGAUCUUAGAAUUCUGUUGCAAUGUUCGUCUUGUCUGAAAUUCAUUCAAUUUCCUUUUAUGAUUUUGAGAAGAAAGUUUGGUGCAAUCUAGGUGUAUUUAUACUAUCUAGCUAUGAGAAAGUGUCAACAGAUGAGCUAUAGAAUUUCACAUGCCUUAGAUUUCCACUUCAUGCUGCAGAUUCCAGCUGUUCCUAUGAAAUUUUCCCUGAAGUUUGUAAAUCUUUCAGUUAGCUUUUAAAAAGAUUAACUGGAUCUGUUCUUAUAAGUGCAUAAUCUAUCCUCGCAUCUUUCAAGUAUUGGCUACAGAGCAUAGAGAACUAAAUUUAAGUGAGAUCAGAAUAUUAAUAUAUUAUUCAUUCAAAGGCCUGGUAGGUCCUUGUCUUUGCUUGUACUCCGAUUAUAUCGUUUACUAUGUUAUUUGUCGUAUUAUCUUGAUGCUAUUACUGCUUAUUAUUACUGUUUAUUAUUCCUGAUGCUUUUUCAUUUCUCUUUGAGCCGGGGGUCUUUCGGAAACAGCCUCUCUACCCGUCAAAAGGUUGAGGUAAGGUCUGCGUACACUCUACCCUCCCCAGACCCCACCUGGUGGGAUUAUACUGGGCAUAUUGUUGUUGUUGGUUAGGUAUAUGGACAAGCAGCUCCAAUUAGUUUUUAUGUCUGAAUUUCAACCCCUUUUAUUUGUUUCUCUUUAUUUUGAGUCUUGAUUUGGGUUUUAUUUGUGUUAUCUUUAGUGGGUAUUUCAUCCAAAUACAAUCUUUGGAACUUACUUAUGGUGUUGAACUUUCUGUGGUUAUUUGCUUGCUUUUUUGCUGCUACUCGUUUAGAGUCUAAGGGAACAUAAAAACCCUUUUUGUUGUGAUUUCUGAAACUCAUCCACUUUAUUUGUUUCUCUUUAGCCUGGAUUGGGAUUUUGUUGUCGUUAUCUUUAGUGGGUAUUUCUUCAAAAUGUAGUCUUUGGAACUUACUUAAGUUGUUGAACUUUGUGUGACCAUUCACUUAUUUUUGCUGCAACUUGUUUAGAGGAAGGAACCAAAAAAAAAAAAAAACUCUUUUUUACGGAUACCAGGUAGGGUUUAAUGUUUAGGGCGUAGAAGGCCAGUUAUGCUUAUGCAUACGUUUUCUUUUCGUUGUCUUUUUAUUGCUUAUUUGGUUUUUGUUUUCCCUAAUAUUGGUGCAUCAAUAACUAUUGGAGACCCCUCUGUAUUUGGAUUGAUUUCUGUUAUGGGUACUAAGUAUUCCUUUAAGAAUCUGAUUUUCAUGAAUGUGGUUAUGUUUUUUGAGCUUUGUGUGACUGCUCCCUUUUUGCUGCAUCUUAUAUUGGGUUUAAGGGAUAUUGUUUAGUAUUUAAGGUUCAGGGCACAUAGGAUAAGACCGUUUACAGCUUAAGUAUACUCUUGCUUUUAUGUAUUUUUUAUUUUUAAAGUUCCUGGGGUUUUGUUUUCCCGUUUCCACAAUUUCUAACCAUAUAAAUGGGUAAAUUUAUAUCCAAGGCCGCAUGUUUGAGUUUAGGUUCUAACACUUCUCACCAGGGUACCUAGUUUGUUUAAGAAGAUAAAUUAUUGUGUGUUGGAAUGAAACAACUUCAAACAAAACGUAACGGAUAUUGAGGAUUCAAGUAGCUAAGUCCAACUAAUUUGGGAUUGAGGCGUACUUGUUUUUUGUUUUGUUUUCCGUAAUAAUUGAGACUGUAAGCCUUUUUCUCCUCCCAUUUGACAUGAUGCUUCUGCUAUCGUAAGACAACUGCUGAUUCUGCAUUUCAAACCAUUGAGAUUUGCUUAAAUUUCUCAAAUAAUGUGCCAACUUUUGCAUAAUGCGGAAUCAUAUUCUACUCUGCAUUGAAAAAUAAGAUCUUAUUUUUGCGUAUUUAUAUAAGCUUACAUUUGAGGAAAAAACUAAGAACUGAAAUGCAGUGACUUAUCUUCUACAUCUACAUCUACAUCUACAUCUAAUGUGUAGGUUCUCUUCUUUUAGUAUACUGUAUACGGGGAUCAAAAAAAAUCUUCUACAUCCAACAUGUGAAGAAGAGUGACUUUUAUUUAGAUGGACGUGUUAAAAAGUAAUGCAAAGUGAAAAACAAGAUGGUCUAUCCUUGCAUUUUGAUUAAGUGUAUAUUUUCAAUGCAGCUUAAACCGUGUGAAUUUGUUGACAGUAACAGGAAAAUAGAUUUAUUAUCUUAACCCACUGGAAUUUCACUUAAGUGGUGUAAGAAGUUUCAGCAUGUCUACAGUUUAAGGAUCAAUGUUAUUUUAUCAGGAAAGAAUUCAUAGUUUGAAGUAUCAAUCAUCAAUGUUCAACGUCUGAAUCACAUAA